UCGGAUUGUAGUCUGCAACCCGACUACAUGAAGCUGGAAUCGCUAGUAAUCGCGAAUCAGAAUGUCGCGGUGAAUACGUUCCCGGGUCUUGUACACACCGCCCGUCACACCAUGGGAGUCGGAAAUGCCCGAAGUCAGUGACCUAACCGAAAGGGAGGAGCUGCCGAAGGUGGAGCCGGUAACUGGGGUGAAGUCGUAACAAGGUAUC
This 208-nucleotide ribosomal RNA is filed under the name uncultured bacterium. Its description in RNAcentral is "partial 16S ribosomal RNA". It matches the Rfam family "Bacterial small subunit ribosomal RNA", at positions 1293 to 1500 of the family's 1533-position model. The record is from RNAcentral.